AACGAACGCUGGCGGCAUGCCUAACACAUGCAAGUCGAACGAGACCUUCGGGUCUAGUGGCGCACGGGCGCGUAACGCGUGGGAACCUGCCCUUAGGUUCGGAAUAACUCCCCGAAAGGGGUGCUAAUACCGGAUAAUGUCUUCGGACCAAAGAUUUAUCGCCUUUGGAUGGGCCCGCGUUGGAUUAGCGAGUUGGUAGGGUAAAAGCCUACCAAGGCGACGAUCCAUAGCUGGUCUGAGAGGAUGAUCAGCCACACUGGGACUGAGACACGGCCCAGACUCCUACGGGAGGCAGCAGUGGGGAAUAUUGGAAAAUGGGCGAAAGCCUGAUCCAGCAAUGCCGGGUGAGUGAUGAAGGCCUUAGGGUUGUAAAGCUCUUUUACCCGGGAUGAUAAUGACAGUACCGGGAGAAUAAGCUCCGGCUAACUCCGUG
Molecule: ribosomal RNA, 433 nt
Filed under: uncultured bacterium
Lineage: Bacteria
Description: partial 16S ribosomal RNA
Rfam family: Bacterial small subunit ribosomal RNA
Source: RNAcentral